Molecule: ribosomal RNA, 497 nt
Filed under: uncultured bacterium
Lineage: Bacteria
Description: partial 16S ribosomal RNA
Rfam family: Bacterial small subunit ribosomal RNA
Source: RNAcentral
GAUGAACGCUGGCGGCGUGCCUAAUACAUGCAAGUCGAGCGAACGGACGAGAAGCUUGCUUCUCUGAUGUUAGCGGCGGACGGGUGAGUAGCACGUGGAUAACCUACCUAUAAGACUGGGAUAACUUCGGGAAACCGGAGCUAAUGCCGGAUAAUAUUUUGAACCGCAUGGUUCAAAAGUGAAAGACGGUCUUGCUGUCACUUAUAGAUGGAUCCGCGCUGCAUUAGCUAGUUGGUAAGGUAACGGCUUACCAAGGCAACGAUGCAUAGCCGACCUGAGAGGGUGAUCGGCCACACUGGAACUGAGACACGGUCCAGACUCCUACGGGAGGCAGCAGUAGGGAAUCUUCCGCAAUGGGCGAAAGCCUGACGGAGCAACGCCGCGUGAGUGAUGAAGGUCUUCGGAUCGUAAAACUCUGUUAUUAGGGAAGAACAUAUGUGUAAGUAACUGUGCACAUCUUGACGGUACCUAAUCAGAAAGCCACGGCUAACUACGUG